Molecule: ribosomal RNA, 533 nt
Filed under: uncultured bacterium
Lineage: Bacteria
Description: bacterial SSU rRNA
Rfam family: Bacterial small subunit ribosomal RNA
Source: RNAcentral
AAUAGAUACCCGGGUAGUCCACGCCGUAAACGAUGAGUGCUAAGUGUUAGAGGGUUUCCGCCCUUUAGUGCUGCAGCUAACGCAUUAAGCACUCCGCCUGGGGAGUACGGUCGCAAGACUGAAACUCAAAGGAAUUGACGAGGGCCCGCACAAGCGGUGGAGCAUGUGGUUUAAUUCGAAGCAACGCGAAGAACCUUACCAGGUCUUGACAUCCUCUGACAACUCUAGAGAUAGAGCGUUCCCCUUCGGGGGACAGAGUGACAGGUGGUGCAUGGUUGUCGUCAGCUCGUGUCGUGAGAUGUUGGGUUAAGUCCCGCAACGAGCGCAACCCUUGAUCUUAGUUGCCAGCAUUUAGUUGGGGCACUCUAAGGUGACUGCCGGUGACAAACCGGGAGGAAGGUGGGGAUGACGUCAAAUCAUCAUGCCCCCUUAUGACCUGGGCUACACACGUGCUACAAUGGAUGGUACAAAGGGCUGCAAGACCGCGAGGUCAAGCCAAUCCCAUAAAACCAUUCUCAGUUCGGAUUGUAGGU